UCUUUUUUGUGUCUUCCAGCAAACUGCCUGGAAGAGGAAAAGAAAGGUGGGCCUUUUAGUGUGACAGCUGACACAGUGUGAUGUUCUCGCUGCAGAGUGACUGUCUCCCUUGGACUGGCCAUCAGGCCUCAUCUGAAGGGAUUCUCCUGUCUUUAGUCAUGUCCACAGAGCAGUUUUUCUUGGAGGCUUCACUGUGGUCUUGGAGGUCUUCAAUGUGCUAGGAAAGAGAAGAUUUUCGUCUGACUGCUUUAUUAACAUGGGUCUGAAACCAUUCCUGAACAAAAAGCAAGCAGGCCAUGCCACAACUAAGACCAGCAUACUGAGUUUCCUGGGGUGGAAAAAUCAUGGACAAAUCAGGUGUUGAAAUGAAAGCUGAAUCCGUACCUUAACUGAAACCUUUGCAAAUAAUACAACGAACACAAAGGAGAGAACAAUUUAGAUUUUUGUAAAGAUUUUUUGUACUUAUUUUUUGUGUGGUAUAUUUGAUUUCUCAGAUUUUUUUUUCUUUUUACUCCUGAAAAACAUGGUUGUACUUGCCUAAACAAACUAGUUAGACUUGAGAAAAUAUUCAGAGUAAAAUUUAAAUUUAGUUGAAACUUGCUUGGCUUCAGGUUUCUUUACAGUCUCUAAGCUCAGCCCUGGUUCACUGGGAGGUUUGUGAAAGACCAUGAACUUUUACAGGGAACAUGGAUUGAUUUAUGAGUCUGCCUGAAAAUCCAUGUGAAAUUUGCCUUUCGCAUGACCACGAUGCAAAAAUAUCUUCUUUCCCCCUCAACCCCUUCCUGCGGUACUGGAUAAACUCUGAUGUGUUUUAUCUCCUGUUUCUGCACUGAGUCUUCCCAGCACAGGCAACAUCUUGCUCGUUUCUUUAUAAA
This 875-nucleotide long non-coding RNA is filed under the name Junco hyemalis (dark-eyed junco). Its description in RNAcentral is "lncRNA (ENSJHYG00000015204.1)". The record is from RNAcentral. Lineage: Eukaryota; Metazoa; Chordata; Aves; Passeriformes; Passerellidae.